UACGGUGGGGGUAAGCGUUGUUCGGAAUUACUGGGCGUAAAGGGCUCGUAGGCGGCCAACUAAGUCGGACGUGAAAUCCCUCAGCUUAACUGGGGAACUGCGUCCGAUACUGGAUGGCUUGGAUUUGGGAGAGGGAUGCGGAAUUCCAGGUGUAGCGGUGAAAUGCGUAGAUAUCUGGAGGAACACCGGUGGCGAAGGCGGCAUCCUGGACCAAUAUUGACGCUGAGGAGCGAAAGCCAGGGGAGCAAACGGG
This 253-nucleotide ribosomal RNA is filed under the name uncultured bacterium. RNAcentral's name for it is "partial 16S ribosomal RNA". It matches the Rfam family "Bacterial small subunit ribosomal RNA", at positions 524 to 776 of the family's 1533-position model. The record is from RNAcentral.